RNAcentral lists this ribosomal RNA (1076 nucleotides) under Triticum aestivum (bread wheat). Its description in RNAcentral is "partial small subunit ribosomal RNA". The record is from RNAcentral. Lineage: Eukaryota; Viridiplantae; Streptophyta; Magnoliopsida; Poales; Poaceae.
GAGUCCGUUGUUUGUGUUUGUCCUUGUGUUCUCUUUUCUUCUCGGUUUCUUUGAUUUGAGUUUACCGUAGGAGGAGAAGAUAGGAAGAGAAACGACGAGAAUAACGUGACCAGAGUACCGUCCGGUGACGGAGACUAGGAUCGGGUGAGGUCCUGAAAACGCAGCGGCUGGACGUAAGUGGUCACGCACAGUUACCCAAACAAACGUUCUUGGGCUACCUUCAAUUGCGUCUGCUGAAGAAGUUCCGUCGGUUGGAGCUGUUCGGAUCCCACUGGUUGUUCCAACCUAGGUUGCAGUGAAACUAGUUGCAGUACGUCUAACGACCUGAGUUGUGGGAGCCGUAGAGUUAACGCGCGUAGCUGAUACGAGGGAAUCCAGUCUUGGGUGGUGUAUGCGUGGGAGCGCGGUGACUCUAGGAGUGCCACGAGCUCCCCUAUGAUAUACAACCGAAACAGUGUAGGUUGGUCGGGCGGGGGUUGUCUUUGUUCAAGGAAAGGUUCUACGAGUUGUUUCCACUACACAAACAGAAGGGGCACCCCGAGUAGGUGAAGGUUAAGUUGGGGUUGGGGGUGGUCGGGCGACAACGUUAACGGCGCGAAUCGUCGGUCUUGGGUCCCCGAUAGUGUUAACGGUUACGUCACAAACCCAGCCUGGGUGGUUAUAGUCUACUACAAGAACGGUUCCGUAAAGUCCACCUUUUCUUAUGUUAUCUGAUAGAGGUCCGAGUUAAAACCCUCUUGUUGGUGUUGAUUCAGUCUGCAAACAACUAAUGUGCCUUCUAAUCACGUAUUUAGUUCCUAAACCAACUUAAAGAGCUCGUAGGAAUAUAGUUAUUUUAUUUACCUCUUAUACAGUACGGCGACACACAGACAUUCGGUACUUACAUAAAGUUACAAUACUUAUUAGUUGUUAUAGAAAAAAGUAGUGAGACUAUACUACAACAUACGAUAAAACCAAUAAUACGCAGCAUAAAGGGUAUUGCUUACUUUUAAGUCCCAAGAAAAGGGGAAGAGGCUAUGUUAUCUGCUAAUAGAUCAUUAAAUUACAUUCAAACGACCAAGCCAACUUGUGGAGCC